UACAGAGACUGCAAGCGUUAUUCGGAUUCACUGGGCGUAAAGGGUGCGCAGGCGGCCAAGUGUGUGAGGCGUGAAAGCCCGGGGCUUAACCUCGGAAUUGCACCUCAAACUACAUGGCUAGAGCAUUGGAGAGGCUAGUGGAAUUCCGGGUGGAGCGGUGAAAUGCGUAGAUAUCCGGAGGAACACCAGGGGCGAAAGCGGCUAGCUGGCCAAGUUCUGACACUGAGGCGCGAAGGCGUGGGGAGCAAACCGG
Molecule: ribosomal RNA, 253 nt
Filed under: uncultured bacterium
Lineage: Bacteria
Description: partial 16S ribosomal RNA
Rfam family: Bacterial small subunit ribosomal RNA
Source: RNAcentral